RNAcentral lists this non-coding RNA (117 nucleotides) under Homo sapiens (human). Lineage: Eukaryota; Metazoa; Chordata; Mammalia; Primates; Hominidae. The record is from Rfam by way of RNAcentral.
GCCGGGCAUGGUGGCUCACGCCUGUAAUCCCAGCACUUUGGGAGGCUGAGGUGGGCGGAUCACCUGAGGCCAGGAGUUCGAGACCAGCCUGGCCAACAUGGUGAAACCCCGUCUCUA